GGAGGGUGCAAACGUUGCUCGGAAUUAUUGGGCGUAAAGCGCGUGUAGGCGGUCUGUUUAGUCGAGUGUGAAAGCCCUGGGCUUAACCCAGGAAGUGCGCUCGAUACUGGCAGACUGGAGUACGGGAGAGGAUAGCGGAAUUCCCGGUGUAGAGGUGAAAUUCGUAGAUAUCGGGAGGAACACCAGUGGCGAAGGCGGCUAUCUGGACCGAUACUGACGCUGAGACGCGAAAGCGUGGGUAGCAAACAGAUUAGAUACCCUGGUAGUCCACGCCGUAAACGAUGAGUGCUAGGUGUCGCGGGUAUUGACCCCCGCGGUGCCGCAGCUAACGCAUUAAGCACUCCGCCUGGGGAGUACGGCCGCAAGGCUA
Molecule: ribosomal RNA, 370 nt
Filed under: uncultured bacterium
Lineage: Bacteria
Description: bacterial SSU rRNA
Rfam family: Bacterial small subunit ribosomal RNA
Source: RNAcentral